This 449-nucleotide ribosomal RNA is filed under the name uncultured bacterium. RNAcentral's name for it is "partial 16S ribosomal RNA". It matches the Rfam family "Bacterial small subunit ribosomal RNA", at positions 29 to 523 of the family's 1533-position model. The record is from RNAcentral.
AACGAACGCUGGCGGCAGGCUUAACACAUGCAAGUCGAACGAGAUCUUCGGAUCUAGUGGCAGACGGGUGAGGAACACGUGGGAACAUCCCUUUCAGUUCGGAAUAACGUUGGGAAACUAACGCUAAUACCGGAUACGUCCUUCGGGAGAAAGAUUUAUCGCUGAAAGAUUGGCCCGCGUCUGAUUAGCUAGUUGGUGAGGUGAUGGCUCACCAAGGCUACGAUCAGUAGCUGAUCUGAGAGGAUGAUCAGCCACAUUGGGACUGAGACACGGCCCAAACUCCUACGGGAGGCAGCAGUGGGGAAUAUUGGACAAUGGGCGCAAGCCUGAUCCAGCCAUGCCGCGUGAGUGAUGACGGCCUUCGGGUUGUAAAGCUCUUUUGUCCGGGAAGAUAAUGGCUGUACCGGAAGAAUAAGCCCCGGCAAACUUCGUGCCAGCAGCCGCGGUAA